ACCAAGCCAAGAAGGUGGGGUUUCUAGGGGAACAAAGCCAAGCAUUCCAUCUCAGUAGUGAUGAGAACAGUUACUGGCAGCGGUGAGGGGCAUCAGGGAGGACCUCCGUGCGUGAAGGCGUCCCAGGCGGCUCAGUGAAGGGUCCGCCUGCCGGGGGACGCGUUGGCAGGUGGAUUCUUCAAUUGAUAAAAGGUUUUGUCAGCGUAUUUGCUUUUGACUUAGACAACAUGUGCUUGUCAGACACUCUUCUCUUGAGCUCCUGGUGGAUGUGGAGGAUGGAGACGGGGCCUCCACCCCCAUAGAAUGUAGGGUCUAGCAGGGAGGUGGGCCUUCGGUCAUAAACCUCAGUAUUUAGGCGAUCCUGACAGUGGUGAGUGACGCGAAGAUGCCCCAGGCUCAAGGUGUUUCCAGUCCAUGGGGGGCUGGUGAUGGGAGGUGGCAGGCAGGGACGGGGGUGGUGAGAGUUGCUGAGGGGCCACUGGGGGAGGAGGGACGUGGCGGCCCCACCCUGAGGACACACCCAGGCGCCGGACUCCCCUGACCCGCAUGCUCUGAAGUCCAGAGUGGCAGCCGCUGCUCCGGACUAUGGCCCGACUUCCUCUUUCUCUUCCAAAGUCUGUUUCUGUGUCUCUAAAGGAUCUGAAACCCCAUCUGUCUGGUGAUUUUUUUUUGUAAAUCCUUGAAAAUGUUUAUUUUUAUACAGCUUCAUGUGGCGUGUGUCUCAUCCAGCCAGGAUGCUUCUGUUCAGGCGGGCGGCUGGGUCUUCCGCCUGCAUCCCCUGGGGAAGUGGAGGUGGAGGGUGAGGGCGGUGAACUCCGGAUUCCUGCCCCCAGCUGGGUGCCUGGGCCGCCCCUUGUGAGCCAUGCCCGUGUGGGUCUGCCCGACGCUGUCAUGAUGCUGGGGUGGGUCACUCGCCAGGUGCCCUUUGACCCGAGUCCCAAAAGCAGUGCAUGAGAAGUAACCUGGGGGAGGCUGUGACGGGGUGAGGGGCUCCUGUGGCCCCUGGAGAGAAGCCCAGCCUUGGUUCUG
This 1029-nucleotide long non-coding RNA is filed under the name Capra hircus (goat). RNAcentral describes it as "lncRNA (ENSCHIG00010031525.1)". Lineage: Eukaryota; Metazoa; Chordata; Mammalia; Artiodactyla; Bovidae. The record is from RNAcentral.